GGAAGGAUCAUUGAAUCUAUUGAAUCCACACUGUGAACCUAUUGUCUCGCCGGCAUCGGGGGCUUGUCUCUUGGCAAGUGCUAGGCGGUUGGCAACAACCGUUAGCUAAUUGCAUGCCUUAGUGCAUGUGAUUACCCUGGUGUUGUGAUGCAUAACAACCUACACACCUAACCAAAACAACUGAAGCUAAAGACUGCUAGCUCUGCUAGUUGUCAUAACCAAAGACAACUCUCAACAACGGAUAUCUUGGCUCUCGCAACGAUGAAGAACGCAGCGAAAUGCGAUACGUAGUGUGAAUUGCAGAAUUCCGUGAACCAUCGAAUCUUUGAACGCAUAUUGCGCUCGAGGCUCCGGCCAAGAGCAUGUCUGCCUCAGCGUCGGUUUUACCCCUCGCUUUAUCAUCCUAGGAUGAAGCCUUCGGGCUGUCAAAGCGGAUCUGGCCUUCCCAACUUGUUUAAUAGGUUGGGUUGGCUGAAGUGCAGAGGCUAGAGCUUGGACCCAAUAUGGGCUUCAACUGGAUAGGUAGCACCAGCCUCGGCUGACUACACGAAGUUGAUGCUUGUGGUCUUUGUUGGCGGCCAGCAGGAAACCUUUAAACCCUCGACCUGAGCUCAGGCAAGAUUACCCGCUGAACUUAAGCAUAUCAAUAAGCGGAGGAAAAGAAACUAACCAGGAUUCCCCUAGUAACGGCGAGCGAACCGGGAAGAGCCCAACUUGAAAAUCUCCCUUUGGAGAAUUGUAGUCUAUAGAAGUACCCUCUGUAGCGUGCGGAGCCCAAGUCCCCUGGAAAGGGGCGUCAGAGAGGGUGAGAACCCCGUCGGCUCCUGCAUAGCUGCCUCACGAGGUGCUUUCCACGAGUCGGGUUGUUUGGGAAUGCAGCCCUAAUUUGGUGGUAAAUCCCAUCUAAGGCUAAAUAUUGGCGAGAGACCGAUAGCGAACAAGUACCGUGAGGGAAAGAUGAAAAGAACUUUGAAAAGAGAGUCAAAAAGUGCUUGAAAUUGUUGAGGGGGAAGCGAUUGGAAGGUAUGGGUGCGCCUAGGCUUAUGCGUCUCUAACGAGCCGCUGUAUGUGCUAGGCGCUGGUCAGCAAGGGUUAGGUUAGCAGGAUAAAAGCAGGGGUUGUUACCCUGCCUAUACUGCUGGCUUGACCAAGGCGUGAAGGCUGCCCUUGUCCUUCGGGAACUGCAGCCUCAAGUUGCUGGCGGAAACUUUCCAAUCGACCCGUCUUGAAACACGGACCAAGGAGUCUAACAUGUAUGCGAGUUGGUGGGUGGAAAACCCAUAAGCGCAAGUAACCUGACUGGUGGGAUGGCCUGUGCCUGCACCAUCGACCGACCAUGAGCUUCUGCGAAAGGUUUGAGUGCGAGCAUACCUGUUGGGACCCGAAAGAUGGUGAACUAUGCCUGAGCAGGGUGAAGCCAGAGGAAACUCUGGUGGAGGCUCGUAGAUGUGCUGACGUGCAAAUCGCUUUUCGGACUUGGGUAUAGGGGCGAAAGACUAAUCGAACCAUCUAGUAGCUGGUUCCCUC
Molecule: unclassified non-coding RNA, 1527 nt
Filed under: uncultured Sphaeropleales
Lineage: Eukaryota; Viridiplantae; Chlorophyta; Chlorophyceae; Sphaeropleales
Description: sequence contains 18S rRNA gene, ITS1, 5.8S rRNA gene, ITS2, 28S rRNA gene
Rfam family: Eukaryotic large subunit ribosomal RNA (bases 602-1527)
Source: RNAcentral